RNAcentral lists this ribosomal RNA (253 nucleotides) under uncultured prokaryote. Its description in RNAcentral is "partial 16S ribosomal RNA". It matches the Rfam family "Bacterial small subunit ribosomal RNA", at positions 524 to 776 of the family's 1533-position model. The record is from RNAcentral.
UACAGAGGGUGCAAGCGUUGUUCGGAAUUAUUGGGCGUAAAGCGCGUGUAGGCGGCUAUGCAAGUCGGGUGUGAAAGCCCUCAGCUCAACUGAGGAAGUGCGCCCGAAACUGCACGGCUUGAGUACCGGAGAGGAUGGCGGAAUUCCCCAAGUAGAGGUGAAAUUCGUAGAUAUGGGGAGGAACACCGGUGGCGAAGGCGGCCAUCUGGCCGGAUACUGACGCUGAGACGCGAAAGCGUGGGUAGCAAACAGG